Molecule: ribosomal RNA, 407 nt
Filed under: uncultured bacterium
Lineage: Bacteria
Description: partial 16S ribosomal RNA
Rfam family: Bacterial small subunit ribosomal RNA
Source: RNAcentral
AUUGAACGCUGGCGGCAGGCCUAACACAUGCAAGUCGAGCGGAGCGGCGGACGGGUGAGUAAUGCCUAGGUAUCUGCCUGGUCGUGGGGGAUAACGUCCGGAACCGGGCGCUAAUACCGCAUACUAUCAGAUGAGCCUAGGUCGGAUUGGGUUGUUGGUGGGGUAAAGGCCUACCAGGGCGACGAUCCGUAACUGGUCUGCGAGGAUGAUCAGUCACACUGGAACUGAGACACGGGCCAGACUCCUACGGGAGGCAGCAGUGGGGAAGAUUGGACAAUGGGCGCAAGCCUGAUCCAGCCAUGCCGCGUGUGUGAAGAAGGUCUUCGGAUUGUAAAGCACUUUAAGUUGGGAGGCGUUACCAGCAGAAUAAGCACCGGCUAACUUCGUGCCAGCAGCCGCGGUAAUUC